CAAGAAGUAGUUUAAUUAUAAAAUAUUAAUUUUGGAGAUUAAUGAUAGGAUUUUUUCUUUUCUUGA
RNAcentral lists this transfer RNA (66 nucleotides) under Anatolica potanini. Its description in RNAcentral is "tRNA-Pro". RNAcentral also lists the same sequence under 1 other name. Lineage: Eukaryota; Metazoa; Arthropoda; Insecta; Coleoptera; Tenebrionidae. The record is from RNAcentral.